AUAGAGGUGGCUUAGGGGUUAAGCUCUUGACUUGCAAUCUGGAGGUCUUGGGUUCGAAUCCCGCCAUGUACC
RNAcentral lists this transfer RNA (72 nucleotides) under Papilio machaon (common yellow swallowtail). It matches the Rfam family "tRNA". Rfam says of the family: Transfer RNA (tRNA) molecules are approximately 80 nucleotides in length. Their secondary structure includes four short double-helical elements and three loops (D, anti-codon, and T loops). Lineage: Eukaryota; Metazoa; Arthropoda; Insecta; Lepidoptera; Papilionidae. The record is from Rfam by way of RNAcentral.